AGUUCGGCUGUGCUUCUGAGACCCGCAAGUACGGCACCUGGAUAGCAGCUCAUUCACGCUUUUGGCCAGAGCAUCGACCUUCGCGGCGACGUCGUCCACACGCUCAUGGAGUGAGGCUGAAGGGCGUGACGUGAGUGCACAGCAUGGGGCCUCACCGUUACAGAAACUAUCCCACAACUUAAAGCGGCUGAGGGAAAAGAACGGAGUACCGGUGGCAAUCUCGGCACCAAACAAGCUCUAUAAGUUGUGCAGGAGAGUGAACUGUGAGGUACCUGACGCUGGGUGCCACAUUAAGCACACGAACCAGUAUGUAGAGUGUCCUGAAAAGAAGAACAUCAACGAACAAAUAAAUAACAAAAUGCACACCGUCAUGUCCAAGUACAGCAGGAAAAACGGAAGCGGAACUAGAAAGAAAAAUGAAAGAAUCUUAUCAAUCAACUUAUUCUUCCAAGCAUUUCUGCAAGCAUCCGGGUGAUUUAUGGGUCAAGUAGCGAACAGGAAUGCCAACCGAAAACUCCUUCAACAGCCCAUUGCUGGAAUAUCGGAUUACAGGCGUACAGAACUUCACAGAGAAAUGAAAGGGCCUAC
Long non-coding RNA from Ornithodoros turicata, 588 nucleotides. RefSeq lists it as uncharacterized. The transcript has 4 exons. The record is from RefSeq and is a predicted model, not a curated record. Lineage: Eukaryota; Metazoa; Arthropoda; Arachnida; Ixodida; Argasidae.